Podarcis lilfordi (Lilford's wall lizard) is the source of this 67-nucleotide non-coding RNA. The record is from the annotation of a GenBank genome assembly. NCBI's taxonomy places the organism in Eukaryota, Metazoa, Chordata, Lepidosauria, Squamata, Lacertidae.
GGCUAGCUCAGUCAGUAGAGCACAAGAUUGGUAAUCUCAGUCGUGGGUUCAAGCCCCAAGUUGGGCA